Molecule: ribosomal RNA, 396 nt
Filed under: Triticum aestivum (bread wheat)
Lineage: Eukaryota; Viridiplantae; Streptophyta; Magnoliopsida; Poales; Poaceae
Description: partial small subunit ribosomal RNA
Source: RNAcentral
AUGGAGACUUUCCCUUAUGUCAUUAAACACAAGAAGGGAAAAGAAAAUGUUAUUGCUGAUGCAUUGUCUCGUCGCUAUACUAUGCUUUCACAACUUGACUUCAAAAUAUUUGGUUUGGAGACCAUCAAAGAUCAAUAUGUGCAUGAUGCUGAUUUUAAAGAUGUAAUGCAGAAUUGUAAAGAAGGAAGAAUGUGGAACAAGUUUGUCGUUAACGAUGGAUUUGUGUUUCGUGCUAACAAGCUAUGCAUUCCAGCUAGCUCCGUUCGUCUUUUGUUGUUGCAGGAGGCGCAUGGAGGAGGAUUAAUGGGACACUUUGGCGUGAAGAAGACGGAGGACGUACUUGCUACACAUUUCUUUUGGCCAAAGAUGAGACGGGAUGUUGAGCGGCUGUUUUGA